UACGUAGGGGGCUAGCGUUGUCCGGAAUCAUUGGGCGUAAAGAGCGUGUAGGCGGUCCGGUAAGUCCGCUGUGAAAGUCGGGGCUCAACCCUCGAAUGCCGGUGGAUACUGUCGGGCUAGAGUGCGGAAGUAGGCGAGUGGGAAUUCCUGGUGUAGCGGUGAAAUGCGCAGAUAUCAGGAGGAACACCUAUUGCGAAGGCAGCUCGCUGGGACGUAACUGACGCUGAGACGCGAAAGCGUGGGAAGCAAACAGG
Molecule: ribosomal RNA, 254 nt
Filed under: uncultured bacterium
Lineage: Bacteria
Description: partial 16S ribosomal RNA
Rfam family: Bacterial small subunit ribosomal RNA
Source: RNAcentral